RNAcentral lists this ribosomal RNA (281 nucleotides) under uncultured bacterium. RNAcentral's name for it is "partial 16S ribosomal RNA". It matches the Rfam family "Bacterial small subunit ribosomal RNA", at positions 32 to 320 of the family's 1533-position model. The record is from RNAcentral.
AAUCAACGCUGGCGGCGUGCCUAACACAUGCAAGUCGAACGAGAAAGUGGAGCAAUCCAUGAGUAAAGUGGCGCACGGGUGAGUAACACGUGACUAACCUACCCUUGAGUGGGGGAUAACCUAGGGAAACCUGGGCUAAUACCGCAUAAUACCUACGGGUCAAAGGAGCAAUUCGCUUUAGGAGGGGGUCGGCGGCAGAUUAGUUAGUUGGCGGGGUAAGUGGCCCACCAAGACGAUGAUCNGUAUCCGGCCUGAGAGGGCGGCACGGACACACUGGAACU